GGUGUUGUGGCUCAGAGGUAGAGCACUCGCCUACCAUGUGUGAGGCACUGGGUUCGAUCCUCAGCACCACAU
RNAcentral lists this transfer RNA (72 nucleotides) under Marmota monax (woodchuck). It matches the Rfam family "tRNA". From Rfam's summary of the family: Transfer RNA (tRNA) molecules are approximately 80 nucleotides in length. Their secondary structure includes four short double-helical elements and three loops (D, anti-codon, and T loops). Further hydrogen bonds mediate the characteristic L-shaped molecular structure. tRNAs have two regions of fundamental functional importance: the anti-codon, which is responsible for specific mRNA codon recognition, and the 3' end, to which the tRNAs corresponding amino acid is attached (by aminoacyl-tRNA synthetases). tRNAs cope with the degeneracy of the genetic code in two manners: having more than one tRNA (with a specific anti-codon) for a particular amino acid; and 'wobble' base-pairing, i.e. permitting non-standard base-pairing at the 3rd anti-codon position. Lineage: Eukaryota; Metazoa; Chordata; Mammalia; Rodentia; Sciuridae. The record is from Rfam by way of RNAcentral.